Molecule: ribosomal RNA, 468 nt
Filed under: uncultured bacterium
Lineage: Bacteria
Description: partial 16S ribosomal RNA
Rfam family: Bacterial small subunit ribosomal RNA
Source: RNAcentral
GACGAACGCUGGCGGCGUGCUUAACACAUGCAAGUCGAACGGAAAGGCCCUGCUUUUGUGGGGUGCUCGAGUGGCGAACGGGUGAGUAACACGUGAGUAACCUGCCCUUGACUUUGGGAUAACUUCAGGAAACUGGGGCUAAUACCGGAUAGGAGCUCCUGCUGCAUGGUGGGGGUUGGAAAGUUUCGGCGGUUGGGGAUGGACGCGCGGCUUAUCAGCUUGUUGGUGGGGUAGUGGCUUACCAAGGCUUUGACGGGUAGCCGGCCUGAGAGGGUGACCGGCCACAUGGGGACUGAGAUACGGCCCAGACUCCUACGGGAGGCAGCAGUGGGGAAUAUUGCACAAUGGGCGGAAGCCUGAGGCAGCAACGCCGCGUGCGGGAUGACGGCCUUCGGGUUGUAAACCGCUUUCGCCUGUGACGAAGCGUGAGUGACGGUAAUGGGUAAAGAAGCACCGGCUAACUACGUG